CUUGGUCAUUUAGAGGAAGUAAAAGUCGUAACAAGGUUUCCGUAGGUGAACCUGCGGAAGGAUCAUUACAAAUCUUUGCGGGUGCUGCGUGCAUGUUUAUUGUGCGUAGUAUUUUGCACAUUAGCACAAGGUCGCAAGAUCUUGAUGUUUACGCUUGUUUGUUUGACAGAGUUAGUUGAGAAAAAAUAAAGACAACUUUUAACAAUGGAUCUCUUGGCUCUUGCAACGAUGAAGAACGCAGUAAAGUGCGAUAUGUAGUGCGAUUUGCAUGAAUCUGUGAGUCAUCUAAUCUUUGAACGCAACUUGCGCCUCUUACGAGGCAUGUUUGUUUGAGUGCCGUAAUUCUCUGCAGCAAUGCGAUUUGGCUCGUGUCUUUGUUGACCGAGUUUAAAGGAAGCUAGAGGAUGGUCAGUUUAGACUAGCCCGAGUGCUAAGCAUUCUUGGGUCUAGCGCUGGAUUGCUCAUUUCAUCUAUUUUUAUUUUUGGCCUCAAAUCAAGCAAGACUACCCGCUGAACUUAAGCAUAUCAAUAAGCGGAGGA
RNAcentral lists this ribosomal RNA (540 nucleotides) under uncultured Basidiomycota. Its description in RNAcentral is "eukaryotic LSU rRNA". The stretch from base 194 to 339 matches the Rfam family "5.8S ribosomal RNA". The record is from RNAcentral. Lineage: Eukaryota; Fungi; Basidiomycota.